UAUAAAUUAGUUAAAUUUUAUAACAUUAUAAUGUCAAUAUAAAAUUAUAUUUUUGAUAUAUAUAUAU
This 67-nucleotide transfer RNA is filed under the name Tremex columba (pigeon tremex). Its description in RNAcentral is "tRNA-Asp". Lineage: Eukaryota; Metazoa; Arthropoda; Insecta; Hymenoptera; Siricidae. The record is from RNAcentral.